Long non-coding RNA from Stylophora pistillata, 353 nucleotides. Lineage: Eukaryota; Metazoa; Cnidaria; Anthozoa; Scleractinia; Pocilloporidae. The record is from RefSeq and is a predicted model, not a curated record.
CCUGUGUUACAUAUAUGAAGAUCAGUAUCAGUUCAAGUGGAAAUUAAGUAAAAGAUAUACCAGUACAUCUUCAACAAGUUUUGACCAGAAUCCGAGUUCAAAAAUCAGUUGCUAUGGCUGCAGAAAAAAGUCCAAUUAAAGUUCCAUGUGAAAAUGUAGACUUGCCCGAAAAAGAAAAUGCAGUAGGGGACGACACUUAACAAGCCAGAGCUGAUGUUUAUAGGAAUCAAGGUAAUGAGGCCUUCAAGAAAGGAGAUUUCCUCAAUGCCAUUCACUUUUACACAGAAGGAAUUGAAGUGAAUUGUAAUGAGAAAGAACUGAAGGCUAAACUGUACAACAACAGGGCAACUGCA